Long non-coding RNA from Cucumis melo (muskmelon), 313 nucleotides. RefSeq lists it as uncharacterized. The transcript has 2 exons. Lineage: Eukaryota; Viridiplantae; Streptophyta; Magnoliopsida; Cucurbitales; Cucurbitaceae. The record is from RefSeq and is a predicted model, not a curated record.
GAGCCAAGCAAACCUGCAGAGUUGGGAAAACUUCGACCUGAAAGGAGCACAUCAACAAUUGCUUUCAUAUCAGCAAAAGAAGGAAUGAAGAGAAUGAAGAUAGAAAGAUAAUGAAUGAGUGAUUAGGUAUAAAAUGCUUGAGAAUAAAGCACUCGAUUUCCCUUUUUAAGUUUAAAAGGAAAGUAGGGGUUUCUUAAUUAUUUCAAGCAAUUCAUAUUUUGUAAACUUAAUUCUUCACAACUAUAAUUAAUCAUGAACCCCAUAAACAGUAUUAGACUUCUUGAUAUAUAACACAUAAGUUUAAGUUAAUUUC